RNAcentral lists this ribosomal RNA (502 nucleotides) under uncultured Glomus. Its description in RNAcentral is "SSU rRNA". It matches the Rfam family "Eukaryotic small subunit ribosomal RNA", at positions 569 to 1074 of the family's 1831-position model. The record is from RNAcentral. Lineage: Eukaryota; Fungi; Glomeromycota; Glomeromycetes; Glomerales; Glomeraceae.
AGCAGCCGCGGUAAUUCCAGCUCCAAUAGCGUAUAUUAAAGUUGCUGCAGUUAAAAAGCUCGUAGUUGAAUUUCGGGACCAUCAUGUCGGUCGUGCCUAGGUACGUACUGGCAUUGUUGGUUUCUACCUUCUGACGAACCAUGAUGUCAUUUAUUUGGUGUCGUGGGAAAUCAGGACUGUUACUUUGAAAAAAUUAGAGUGUUUAAAGCAGGCUCACGCUUGAAUACAUUAGCAUGGAAUAAUGAAAUAGGACGUUUGAUUCUAUUUUGUUGGUUUCUAGGAUCGACGUAAUGAUUAAUAGGGAUAGUUGGGGGCAUUAGUAUUCAAUUGUCAGAGGUGAAAUUCUUGGAUUUAUUGAAGACUAACUACUGCGAAAGCAUUUGCCAAGGAUGUUUUCAUUAAUCAAGAACGAAAGUUAGGGGAUCGAAGACGAUCAGAUACCGUCGUAGUCUUAACCAUAAACUAUGCCGACUAGGGAUCGGAUGAUGUUAAUUUUUAAUGA